GCCAAAUCUCUUAUUCAAAUUUUGCUCAAAUUUUGAAUAGAAGAUGAAAAAUGAACUAGAAGCGGGACUUUCGCGGGAUCCCAUUUGCAUCCUACGCCACCCCAUCUCCGCCGCUGGCCCCGACCAAGCUCGGCCACCGCCUCCAAUCUCCGUCGCAGGUCCCAUGUGCACUCGACCACAGCCGCCUCCACCGCAAGCUUGACAUAGUCAUCAAUCUUGUCGCCUCUCCGUCGCGCUGCCUUCGCUGCCAUCCCCAUCGUCGUCCACCACACCGCGCUGCCGCCAUCUCCUUUAUGCGUCUGGUCAAGCUCGGCUUUUUUUCGCCUCCUCAAUCUCUGUCGCGCUGCCUCUUCUCUACCGCCCCCAUCGUUGUCCAUCGUGCCGCCCCCACUGCGCCGGCCAUCCUCUUUUCCAGAAAUUUCUUAUUGGUACGGUGGGUCUGUGCCCGAUCUAUCCUGGGCGAACGUCCAAGCGUGGAUCCCAAUGAGUUUUGUUAAUCUUAUAGUCUUUCCAGAUUAUGAACCGCAUGCUUACACCAUCCGCGCACUGUGAACACCCUGCGAAUCCCCUAGGCUACUGUGUGAGGUCCCUACAGCUUCAAGUGCUAGGCUCCACCAAGUUAGAUCUAACUUGACUGACUUUGACUGAAUAGAAAUAUCCGCUGUGGCUGGAAUGGCGUAGAAGCUGUACUCGUUCAUAACUGGAACGAAAUGUUAUAGACCUGUACGUUCGAGCAAUCCUUGGGGGAUCUGAGCCCACCCGCCGUUGCGGCUGACACCGCAUUUCUUCGCCAGAGAGAAGAUCGGUGAUGGGAGUCAGGCCUUAGCUUGGGUUGGAAAAGGUGCUGCCGGGUGCUCAGUUUGUCUGGCUCGACGAUGAUGGCUUGCCCGGAUUGCAACAACCUGCUUGGAGUAGCUUGCGGCGACACGGUGACGGCCCUUGGCAUGUUCAAAGUCGUCCUCAACAAAAAUUCAGGAACCUGAGUGUACGUUCCAUGCGAGAAGCGUGAUCCUUUUGAGUGCCACGAUGGCGAGGAUGCUCAACUGAUCACACGCGAAGGAUUGAUCUUUCAUGUGCGCAUUGCCGACGACAAUUUCCAGACAUAUAUGCAUGGGCCAGGUUGGGCUGAUCUGUAGCGCAUUUCGGCCAAAGUAGGUAUACGGAAUCUACCCAAGUCAGGCAGGAUAACGCUAGAAAGGGCCGACCUCGAGGGCUCGUCACAUGUAUUUGCAGUGGAAAUGCGGUACAAGAAAAAUACGGAUGACAACAGGAUCGACAUCAGCUGAGCAUGGCGCACUUUCCUCAUGAACAACAGAGACAUCCUCCCUGGAUCUCUGGUCUUGUUUACCAUCCACACCAACCCCGAACGCAAGAUCCAUGUGGAGAAAAUCCCCAAAUCACAUGGGCCAUGCAUCAAGUGCCAGGUUCGAAGCACAAACAUAGUCCCGUGAUGUUGCCCCAAACAUGACAGCAACACUGAUAUUGCAUCUGUAUCCAGUGAUCCAUGGUUUUCGUCGCAGACCAUUUGAACUGGUUAUAACAUCUAGCCCAUGUAGUAGACAUCAAUCAUCCUGCUUUUUUCGUGAAACGCAUGUAUCAUUAUGUGUAA
This is a long non-coding RNA of Brachypodium distachyon (stiff brome), 1609 nucleotides long. RefSeq lists it as uncharacterized. The transcript has 3 exons. The record is from RefSeq and is a predicted model, not a curated record. NCBI's taxonomy places the organism in Eukaryota, Viridiplantae, Streptophyta, Magnoliopsida, Poales, Poaceae.